CAUUAUCGUCCAGCUUUCUGAAGGUCAGGCACUGUCUUUACAUUCUGAAUCUUGGAGAAAAUUUCAAUCAAACAGAACAGAUUUUACACAGAAUUAUAUAAUUGUUUCGCUUGUUAUUUGCUUUCACAAUCCAUUGCAGCAGUUUUUAAGGUUAUUUUUCUCAUCUGUAGCAAGUGUUGCAGUUCCUUCUUGGAGAUUUCUUUUGUCUACUUCCAUUUUAUCCUAAUUUAGACGAAAAAUUCUUUAAUGUACUGUUUUGUCAAUGUAUACCUGUAGCUGUGCUCAAAUUGGAUGUUAUACAGUGCUGAGGAAAAGCUUGCAAUUGGAUUCCAAAAUGACAAUGUAUGUUAAAGUUCCAUCAGCAGUAAGUUUUUUUUUUUUUUUCUUUUUGUCAGAGGGUGGGGAGAAAUAACUUUGGAGAGAACGAGGCUUCAGGAGCAAAAAAUCCACAGUUAGGAAAGGAAGAGACAGCCCUGGCAAAGCGCGUGAGGUCAAGGGCAACAGGAAUGCAGGGCUUCUCCAUCUCAGGCAGUCCUCCAAGCUUAAGAAACAGGGCAGUUGGGCUGCCUUAGAUUUGCCAGUUUCUCUCCUGAAAGCUACGCUGGGCCCUUAUUUCCCAAGGACCACCCAUUCAGCAAUCUCAAAAACCUUAUGUGCAGGGGGACUGGACAGGAACUGGGUUUAGGAUGCAAAGUGCACAGCUUCUGUCCUUGCAUGCUCCUGGUUUUUAAAACAGGGUAUCUUGGUGUCAGCACUGUGGCCCAGAGGGUCUGCAGCACCAGUAUCCAAUAUGGGUGCUAGUUUGAGUCCCAGCUGCUCUGAUUCUGGUCCUGCUUCUUGCUAAUGCACCUGGGAAAGCAGCACCCAAGUGCUGCACCCAAGUGGGAGACCUGGAGGAAGCUCCUGGCUCCUGGCUUCAGCUCAGCUCAGCUCUGGCCAUUGUGGCCAUUUGGAGAAUGAACUAGCAGAUGGAAGACCUCUCUCUGUGUCUUUCAGAUAAUAAAUUAAAAAAAAAAAAAAAGCCA
RNAcentral lists this long non-coding RNA (1025 nucleotides) under Oryctolagus cuniculus (rabbit). RNAcentral's name for it is "lncRNA (ENSOCUG00000034279.1)". Lineage: Eukaryota; Metazoa; Chordata; Mammalia; Lagomorpha; Leporidae. The record is from RNAcentral.